Non-coding RNA from Pseudonaja textilis, 417 nucleotides. Lineage: Eukaryota; Metazoa; Chordata; Lepidosauria; Squamata; Elapidae. The record is from the annotation of a RefSeq genome assembly.
AUGACCCUGGGGUUAAUCAUGGUGUCCUUACUAGCUGUGCUCAGAGGUGCCCAAUCUGAAGUUCAGUUGACUGAGUCUGGUGGGGAUGUGAGGAGACCUGGAGAGUCCCUCCAUCUCAUCUGUCAAGCAGCUGGCUUCACCUUCAGUGAUUACAGCAUGCAUUGGAUGAGACAGGCUCGUGGGAAAGGGCUGGUAUGGGUGGCACACAUACGCUAUGAUUCUACAUCUUUUCACUAUUCUGAUGAAGUCAAGAGUCGCUUCACCAUAUCCAAGGACAAUGCCAAAGACCAGCUGCAUCUGCAAAUGAACAGCCUAAAGCAUGAAGACACAGCUGUCUACUACUGUGCAAGAGGCACAGUGAGAGGAAGUGCUUCUGAAAGUGCUUCUGAAAGUUCUUCUUGGGGGAUGCCAAGCUGA